UAAAAAUAAGCCAAAACCAAUAACUACAGGGAAAUACAUGUGCUUUCGUCUGUGCAAUUAAAAGAAAAGAGGUUAUUCUAGGUCAAAAGAGAGGUGAAAAAAUAUUGAAAAACAAAUCAAGAUAUAAGAUGAUUACUGGUCUUAUUUAAUUUAUAACCAAACAAAAAAGUAACAAUUUUGGAGGCUAAGCUUAAUCAUUAGAACGAACCUCACUUAUUUAUCAUAACAUACACUGUAUGCACAGAUCUUAUACUACAAAAUCUGUGCACU
RNAcentral lists this long non-coding RNA (270 nucleotides) under Arachis ipaensis. RNAcentral describes it as "long non-coding RNA (AIPA_LNC001284)". Lineage: Eukaryota; Viridiplantae; Streptophyta; Magnoliopsida; Fabales; Fabaceae. The record is from RNAcentral.